UGGAGGGGUGUGUGUGUGGGGGGGGGGGGGGCGGGCAGUUAAGUUCAUUAUGUGGUAUGGACUCAGUAUGGAUUUCUUCAUUUCCUAACUGGGUACCCAUUAUGGUGGCCUUUGAAACCUGUGACUCGCUUUAGAAAGUCCCCGUUAUUUGAAGUGUCAUGUUCUCCCCGAUGCCCCACUCCCUAGCAGUCUGAAGACAGUUUGACUAUGGUUUGCCUGAGAUUUGAUAGAUGCAAUCAAGAACUGGAAAGAGCCAUCUCCUGGCAACGUAUUUGAACUCUUGAAUACAGCAUUUCUGAAGUCACCUUAAUCCUUGGACUUUUUUGUUAAAGAGUUCAUAAAGCCCCUUCUUGGCCCUAAGGCUGUUCAAGGUGGGUUUCUGUCACUUGCCACCAAGAGCCCUAAGUAACAGCCCCUCUCCCCUGCCCUCCCUCCCUUAUGUCUCUCAUUGCACUCCCACAUUCUAUCCUGCUGGCUUACUUGUUCACGGUCUCCCCACAUCCUCCAACUGAGGAUAUUUAUGAAACUAUGCAACAGACUGUGAAGGAUAUUUUAAAAGAGGAAUUUCAAUAAUGUUUUUAUCUUCUCCCACAAUAUUUUGGGCAAUGGCCAUAUUGUGGAUUUAAGCAUUCUCUACUUGAAAAGCCAACAUCACCCAAUGAGGCAAAAUGGUUGAGAGUUUGGAUUGUGGCCUCUGAAAUCAAACAUGUAUCAGCUGUUUUACUCAGAAUAAGUUUGACAAUUUUCUAAGCCUCUGUUCAUUUAUAUAAUGGGGAUAAUACCAUGAAGAUUUGAUGGGAUGUGGUAUGGACCUCAAUUAGCAUAGGUAAAUAGAAAAAAUGUCUAGUAUCAGGAUGAACAUGAUCCUUUUGUUAAAUGAUCUCAAAAUAUGAUCUGCAAAGCCAGAUUGUCACAUGCACAAUUCAACAAAACAAACAAAAAAUUCAGCAAAAACAAACAAAAGUUAUUGUCUCCUCAGAUUAUUCUAGUAAAAGCAGGUGCUGUGCCUCUUCAUCUGGAUAAAGCAAAUCUCAGGCUAAAUAUACAACAGGUGGAUAUAAUUUAAAUCCAUGAAACACUUUAGUCCCUUAAAGCAACUUAUUCUACUUUACUGACCAUUACCCUACUUCUAGAAUAGUUUACAAAUAAAAUGUAAUACACAUAGCAAAUCCCAGUUUCCUGGCCUUAUCCAAAUAGGACGUUUUCAAGGCCCCAAAGGGCUAAGGUCCUGAAGGGAAACCCCCUUUUCUCAAAGAGAGAGAAGUAAAACUUAUUUUGUUCUGACCUACUGACCGCGUCGCGGGCUCCAGGCGAUCGUCAGCCGUGAUCUUCCGGCCGCACAGCUGAUGCGCGCCCCGGCGGUUAAUGCCGCACAAGGCGCAGGGGGCGCCCUUCCCAGGGUGGCAUAAGCCUCACCUGCUCCGCGAGGGCCGGGUGCGCUUCCCAAAAGCUCCCACCAGCCAAUGAGCCCCAAAGUCUUAACUUGAAAGAAUUGUGACUGGACCUGUAGCAACCGUGGCUGAUACAGGAGCAAGACAAAGAUUGAGUUCUGGUUUGGGACUCAGCUGAGAUGGAAGACAGAAGGACCCAGGGAACUUAAAAUCAAGGAGAACCCCUCAUUUGCAAAGCUCUAAAUGUUGCUGAUCUUUGGUAUCUGACCCAGAGUUUAUGAAAUAAAGGCACAAUGCAUUGCAAUUCCCAAAAAUGUGUUAAGAAAGAUAGUACUUUCUGUUCUGAGGUAAGUCUAUCAAUGUGGAGAUCACCUGGCAUGGAGAUUAACUUGGGCAAUUUAUCCUAAAGUUAUAAACUUCCACCUGUUGAUUCAACCAAACCCAUAAAUACUCCCUGGCUUCCACCCUGGGCAAAAAGCAAGUACUGCACAUUUAACUUUCGGUCACCCAUUUAAUUGGGGGAUCUGGUUUAUGAAUAAAUUGUCCUGGUGACUGCUUACCACGUUGUCCAAGCAUUUCCCAACCCAGGCUCUAACGACCUUCCAGCCUUGGUUUGACUGCCCAUGGACAACGAUGCUUCUUGGCAUUGGCACGCGUUGUUUUCUCUUUCUGAAAAGCCCUCCUCCUCUUC
Long non-coding RNA from Myotis myotis, 2082 nucleotides. RefSeq lists it as uncharacterized. The record is from RefSeq and is a predicted model, not a curated record. The transcript has 2 exons. NCBI's taxonomy places the organism in Eukaryota, Metazoa, Chordata, Mammalia, Chiroptera, Vespertilionidae.